UCUAGAUUUAGAACCCCUGUGCCUGAGUCCGCGGGGUGUGGUGGGAUGCCCAACCCGGUUACCCGGGUCCCUCCUGGUCCCCAUGAACCACCAGGAGCGGACCCCAGCCCCCUCCCCGACCCGGCCCUCAACCCCUGUCCGGAGCUCCAUCCUGUCCCGGAUCCCAGCUCUGGUCCGGACUUUGACCCCAGUCAGGGCCUCGACCCCGGCCCGGACCCCGACCCCUAUUCGAACCCUGACCCCGGUCCGGACCCCGACUCCGGUCCGGACUCCGACUCUGGUGCGAAUCUCGACCCCAGUUCGGGCCUUGACCGUGGUCCGGACCUCGACUCCGGUCCGGACUCCGACUCCGGUCCAGACUCUGGUCUUGGACCAGACGCCGACUCCCGUCCAGUUCCCUGCACCAGCCCCAGCUGCAGCUCCGGCUCCAGCCUGGGUCUGGGCCGAGGUGCCCGGUGCGGAAUCCUUCCCGAACCCGCUGCCACCUUUGGGUCCACUCUCAGAACCUACUUCGGAGCCAAUUUUGUCUCCUGGCAAGGAUCCUGCGCCGAGCCCGAAGCGCGAUGAGGCCCCGGCCGGCACCGUAGCCAGGCCGGACCUGCAGCCUCACCCCGGCCUCACCCCACCGGCCGCUGACGGUCUCGGUCCCGCCCUGGAGGCCACCCCGAAGGCAGACCCAUCCCCUGGCUCCAUCAUGCCAUUUGUACCAGUUUCCACCGCUGCACUCGCCUCUGCCACCGAGAACUUCCACGCGGACAGAAUCGUGAUUCGAGUGACCUACUGUGGUCUCUGAAGCUAUGGCCUUUGGUACGUCCUACUGAAGAAGAGUCUGGAGCAGCAGUUUCCAAAUCUUCUGCACUUUGAGGACGAAAGAGCAGCCCAGGCUACGGGGGAGUUUGAAGUGUUUGUGGAGGGGAAACUUGUCCAUUCAAAGAAGCAAGGCGAUGGCUUUGUGGAUGAGGGCAGGCUGCAGAUGAUCGUGAACGCUAUCAACAAGGAGAUCAAGAGGAGGUAGCAGGCGGUGGUGGGGCUGAGGAGCUGCAGCAGGAUGAUGAUAAGGGCUGAAAUGUCACUGAGUCAGGCCCUUUUCUGAUGGUGGCUGGGCUGGGUGGAGCUGGGGAGGGCUGUAAGGAAAUACAGAACCUGCCUCCCGUGGAUGUGGCCUGACUGCGUCCGCUGUCACGGCACUCACAGGAAGUCACCUGCUACAGGGACCCCAGCAUCUCCCCCUUCUGACCCUGGGGAGCCCUCGGGGAGCCCAGCCCGUCCCUCUCUUUGCCUCCCUGCCACCAUGGGAUGCUGAUGUCCUCCGCCACAGGCUCCUGCCAUGAGGUACAGGGACAUCGCAGGGCCCACUGGCCGUGGGGUGAAAGCUCUGAAGCUGUGAGCCAAAAGCACUCCUGCUUAUAAGCCGAGUCUCAGGUCAGAAAGAGCGCUGAGGAAAUCUCAACAACCAGCCUGGAAGAAGAAUCUCUAAAAAGCAAUUGCCUAAGAUCUGUGCUAGGAAAUCUGAACUCAAAUUCUCAAUGCAAACAAUGCUGAUAAAAGAGGUCUAAAACUUCUGACAAAUUUCAGAUACAUACUGCUGUUAAAUGUGGAUGACAGCACAUUUUGUCUCUAGAUAAAAAUUCAAGAUCACUCCAAGACAGUUGUCUG
Molecule: RNA transcript, 1656 nt
Organism: Fukomys damarensis (Damara mole-rat)
Lineage: Eukaryota; Metazoa; Chordata; Mammalia; Rodentia; Bathyergidae
Gene: Selenov
Gene name: selenoprotein V
Exons: 8
Source: RefSeq, a predicted model, not a curated record